Molecule: non-coding RNA, 535 nt
Organism: Phoenix dactylifera (date palm)
Lineage: Eukaryota; Viridiplantae; Streptophyta; Magnoliopsida; Arecales; Arecaceae
Source: RefSeq, a predicted model, not a curated record
GGGCUUCGUAUUAUAUAGGCGUCAUCGGGCCUCAUCGCAAACCCCACGGCCUCGGCAUUUCGUCGUUUGACUCCCGUUGCUGCUCCCGGGUCCUCCGCUCUCUUUGUGGCGAGAGAGAUCGUAGGAUUCCCCCAGAGGCUCGAAUCGUGAGGCACGCCUGGCUUCUCGACGUUUAGGGUUUUCUCGGCCCUCUUCCCCUUUUGUCUCAGUUUUUCGAAGUCGACGGCUCGCCGAGUCCGAGCUUAAAGAGUGCACUUUGAUUCCCAAUAUAGCGAUUCCAGUGACUUCUUAACCACCACGAGAAACCGACCAUGAAGAAAGGAGUUGGAUCUGACCUCUUUGUAAACGAUGGUUCUUUUAUGGAAAAGUUUAAGCAACUCCAGCAAAAAACAGGAGAAGGCGGCCAUUGAGGAGCUAAAUCUAGUGCUCGCUGGCUUUCUAUUGUUGUGAAGCCAGCAUUCUAGUGAACAAAGGCCAUUGGAUAUGAAGGCGAAGCCUAACCUCCUGCAUCUGGUGGAAAGCUUGCCUUCAGCUU